This 93-nucleotide microRNA precursor is filed under the name Gorilla gorilla gorilla (western lowland gorilla). Its description in RNAcentral is "miRNA (ENSGGOG00000033870.2)". Lineage: Eukaryota; Metazoa; Chordata; Mammalia; Primates; Hominidae. The record is from RNAcentral.
UAUUAGGUUGGUGCAAAAGUAAUUGCGGUUUUUGCCAUUUAAAAGUAAUGGCAGAAACCACAAUUACUUUUGUACCAACAUAAAUAUUUUUCU